This 440-nucleotide ribosomal RNA is filed under the name uncultured bacterium. RNAcentral describes it as "partial 16S ribosomal RNA". It matches the Rfam family "Bacterial small subunit ribosomal RNA", at positions 338 to 795 of the family's 1533-position model. The record is from RNAcentral.
CCUACGGGUGGCUGCAGUAGGGAAUAUUGCACAAUGGGGGAAACCCUGAUGCAGCGACGCCGCGUGAGUGAAGAAGUAUUUCGGUACGUAAAGCUCUAUCAUCAGGGAAGAAAAUGACGGUACCUGACUGAAAGUCCCCUGCUAACUACGUGCCAGCAGCCGCCGUAAUACGUAGGGGGCAAGCGUUCGCCGGAUGUACUGGGUGUAAAGGGAGCGUAGACGGCAGCGCAAGUCUGGAGUGAAAUCCCAUGGCUUAACCAGGGAACUGCGUUGGAAACUGUGCAGCUAGAGUGCAGGAGAGGUAAGCGGAAUUCCGAGUGUAGCGGUGAAAUGCGUAGAUAUGAGGAGGAACACCAGUGGCGAAGGCGGCUGACUGGACUGUAACUGACGUUGAGGCUCGAAAGCGUGGGGAGCAAACAGGAUUAGAUACCCGUGUAGUC